ACUAGGCCAGGACAUAAACUCAGAACUGAAGAUUUUGUAGAGAAUUAAUUUCUCUUGGAAUCUUAGAAAUAAAUAUAGAAGAAAAUCAAACCAAUAAAAGACUCAGUGUCCACUAACACUCAGGAUACUGUGGUAUAUAAGCACCCCAACCCUACAGGAAGCCCGAUGUGCCUGCGCGAUUUAACAUUAAUUAAGCAAUCAACUUCUUUUUGGCCAAUGACUACAGUUGAUCAGACAAUGUGUAACGCAAUAAAGUUGGGUCAUCCAAGCACCAGUAAAUAAAUACAUUUCCUCCCGAUCCCUAUUGUCUCAGACACUCCUCUCUCUACUUCAGAUUGGCUCGCUGCCUUAUCUUGCUCUAUCGUUCCUCCCUCGCUCAGUCCUGCUUAAGAUCACUUUUUUCUAACAUUGUGAAUUCCCUAAGCAUGGAAGUGAUGUUAGAAUCUAAGUGAAAAAAGAAAUAUGCAUAUACAUAGAGAUCUCAUGUAUAUUAUAUAUGUCACCAUCAUCACCACCAGAUGGUUCACCAAACCAAUGUUGAUGUCUCCACCAUGACCUCCAGAUGGUAUGCUCAUCCGGUGUUGUGUCUCCAUCAUCACCGCUAGAUGGUAUACCCGAUUGGCGUUGAUGUCUCCAUCAUCACCGCCAGAUGGUACGCCGAACCGGUAUUGAUGUCUCCAUCAUCACCACUAGAUUGUUUGCCUGGCCGGUGGUGGUAUGCGACUGAUUGCCGCCAAAUAAAACUCUAACGCAGCGGUGAUGGUAACGGUAGCACCCCGGACUGAAUGCUGAUCCGGAAGUGAACAAUACCAUCACCGGUUUUGGACCAGUGGUGAUCACCGACGCCUUUCACUAGCGACGACAGUGAAGAGAGGUUGAGAACUGGCGGUGAUGUACUUUAGUAGUGUUAUACUAGUAUAUAAUUGGAGUUGAUAUGGUUGUUUGUUUAUGGUGCGUAAUUUGCUACAUUUGUUAACUGCACUGUUCUGUAUCCAUAUUAAACAUGAUUCGUGGGAUAGAGGGAG
Molecule: long non-coding RNA, 1025 nt
Filed under: Sorghum bicolor (sorghum)
Lineage: Eukaryota; Viridiplantae; Streptophyta; Magnoliopsida; Poales; Poaceae
Description: long non-coding RNA (SBIC_LNC002238)
Source: RNAcentral